Salvelinus sp. IW2-2015 is the source of this 227-nucleotide non-coding RNA. NCBI's taxonomy places the organism in Eukaryota, Metazoa, Chordata, Actinopteri, Salmoniformes, Salmonidae. The record is from RefSeq and is a predicted model, not a curated record.
UGUAUACUAUACUGUCUGUAGGGGUGAUAGGGAUUAGGUUGUAUUCUAUACUGUCUGUAGGGGUGAUAGGGAUUAGGUUGUAUACUAUACUGUCUGUAGGGGUGAUAGGGAUUAGGUUGUAUACUAUACUGUCUGUAGGGGUGAUAGAGAUUAGGUUGUAUUCUAUACUGUCUGUAGGGGUGAUAGGGAUUAGGUUGUAUACUAUACUGUCUGUAGGGGUGAUAGGA